Molecule: ribosomal RNA, 594 nt
Filed under: Triticum aestivum (bread wheat)
Lineage: Eukaryota; Viridiplantae; Streptophyta; Magnoliopsida; Poales; Poaceae
Description: partial small subunit ribosomal RNA
Source: RNAcentral
AUGGACGCCGACGCUGCCUCCCCGUCGGACCAGCACAGGACGGUGUGGACGGAGCCGCCCAAGAGGCCGGCGGGGCGGAUCAAGUACAAGGAGACGCGCCACCCGCUGUACCGCGGCGUGCGGCGUCGGGGGCGGCACGGGCGGUGGGUGUGCGAGGUGCGCGUGCGCGGCACCAAGGAGACAAGGCUCUGGCUCGGCACCUUCCGCACCGCCGAGAUGGCGGCGCGAGCGCACGACUCCGCCUCGCUCGCUCUCUCCGGAAGCGCCGCCUGCCUCAACUUCGCCGACUCCGCCUGGCGGAUGCUGCUCGUCCUCGCCGCUGGGUCUUCCAGCUUCAGCAGCGCGCGGGAGAUCAAGGACGCCGUCGCCGUCGCUGUCGUAGCGUUCCAGCGGCAGCGCUCCAUCGCGUCCACGGCCGACGGCGAGAAGGACGUCCAAGGCUCGCCGACGCCGAGCGAGCUGUCCACGUCCAGCGAUUUGCUGGACGAGCACUGGUUUGGCGGCACGGAUGCCGGAUCGUACUACUCGCCGGGCAUGUUCAUGGAGCCGCCGGAGCGGCCUGAAAACCGCGAGCUCGGUGCCGGCGACGUGUAA